AAACACCCAUGAAAAUACAGACUGUCUGUUGGGGUUACGUUCAAUAUCACGGCUGUCGGGAUCCCGGCAACAAAAAUACCGUCACUGUAAACCUGACACCAUUCAGAACACUGAUGCCGGAUUCCGAAGAACAUCAGGAUCCUGAUGCUGGAAUCCCAACAACCAGGAUCCUGAAGGUCUGGCUGGGAUGUAUGUACUUGAGGAUGCACUGACAGAAAACUGCCUAGCCUGGCCAAAUGGAGAGGUGUGGUGACAUCAUCAGUGGACAACAUCCAUGGGACCCAGCGGCCGGCAUUCCACAUGGGGGUGAUGGUGUGUUAAAAGGCAUUGCUGAAACUGCUAAACUGCAACCAAUUUAUAUGAAACUUAUUGGAAGAGCUACAAUAUAUAACUCCACAUCACACUACUGUGAAAGCUGCCAUACAAGAUACUCAGAAGCUGUCCCUGCUGUUAUGAUGAUGUGAUCUAAAGAAACAUUGCUGUCACAAUAUUGAGUCAAAAAGACUUUCAAAAACUAUUGAGCAAGGACUAUGAACAUUAUCACGAUCUCAUCUUCAGAAAACGCUUCUCCUUUAUGAACUUUCUCUUGUGGUUAGGGAUAAGAGGAUAGGGAACAAUGGUUCUACCCGAGUAUAGGGAUGUUGAAUGGACUAGCCCAUGCCUGGAGUGCCCCUAUGGUACACCAGUCGUGAAAGUAGGUGUCCCUAUAGAAUCAGUGACCAGGUAAAGGAAGGGUAAAAUAAAAUUAGAAUCAAAGAGGGGAAGUUGAUAAAGAUGGAAGCCAUAUUUGUUCAUAGGACUCCAUUUUAUAAUUGACAUCUUACAAGCUGUUUCCAAAUUGUUAUUCUCCAGCUUAGAAUUGACACAGGAAAGAGUGUAGACCUGUACUUUGUUUGAACCCACAUUGUGAAGUUAUGACCUUUAUCUAAGAUAUAUUUUACGGUAAUUUCCUAGCAGAAAUAUAAUGUCAGCAGCUAGACAUGUGAGCUUCAAAGGGUAUUUGUCAGUUUGCGGUACAGCAGGUGUAAAAAUAUAACCAGACAUAUGUAGGUUUCGAGGUUAGCAAAAACCCCCUAGUUAUUCCACUUAAGAGCAUAUAUAAAAAAUAUAGAUGUUGGCAAACAUAUUACGUAUAAGAUAGAAGUUUUAUUAGCCAAUAGGAUUAAGCUUCGUGUCAGGAAACGACGACACGAUAUGUUAAUUGGUAUCACUUUAUAAUGUACUGCUAG
Long non-coding RNA from Pseudophryne corroboree (corroboree frog), 1229 nucleotides. RefSeq lists it as uncharacterized. The record is from RefSeq and is a predicted model, not a curated record. Lineage: Eukaryota; Metazoa; Chordata; Amphibia; Anura; Myobatrachidae. The transcript is spliced from 4 exons.